Molecule: ribosomal RNA, 965 nt
Filed under: Arachnopeziza leonina
Lineage: Eukaryota; Fungi; Ascomycota; Leotiomycetes; Helotiales; Arachnopezizaceae
Description: SSU rRNA
Rfam family: Bacterial small subunit ribosomal RNA (bases 252-965)
Source: RNAcentral
UAUUUAGUUAAUUAGUUACACUGUUUGUUUAAAAUAAAUCUUUAAAGAUCUUUUUAUUCAGUUGUUUAAAAUAAAUUAUUUUGUUUUAUUCAAAUAGACUUAGGGGUGAGAUCUCUAGGCUUUUUAUAUAAUACAAUUACUUAAUUUUAAGUAAUUAUAUUCUUUAUAAUAUUUUUCUUUUAAUUAUUAUAAAUAUUAAAAAAGCGCUCCAGAUAGAAUAACGCUCUAAACGGGGAAAACAUUAUGUUUUUAGUCUAUAUAUUAAUUGCUCAAUAAUAUGGGUAAACAGUGUAGCGUCAAUUUUAUUGAGUAAAAUUCUAGAUAGUGAUAAUAUGAUUAUGACAAAAAACUAUCUAUAAGUCUUGACCAAAAUACAUGCCAGCAGUCGCGGUAAGAUGUAAAAGACUAGUGUUAUUCAUCUUUAAUAGGUUUAAAGGGUACCUAGACGGUUUAUUAAGUCUUUAAUAGGAUACAAAUAAUCUAGAGUUAUAUGUAAGGAGGUGAGUAUUUAUGGAGUAGAGUUGAAAUUCGUUGAUACCAUAACGACUGGUAAAGGCGAAAGCAACCUUUUAUUUAAUGACUGACGUUGAGGAACGAAGGCUUGGGUAGCGAACAGGAUUAGAUACCCUAGUAGUCCUUGCAGAAAAUAAUGAAUGCCAUAGGUUAGAUGUUAAUUUAGUCUAUAAAUGAAAGUGUAAGCAUUUCACCUCAAGAGUAAUGUGGCAACGCAGGAACUGAAAUCAUUAGACCGUUUCUGAAACCAGUAGUGAAGUAUGUUAUUUAAUUCGUAUUUACGCGAAAAACCUUACCACAACUUGAAUAUUAUCAACUAUGAUAUUACAAGUGUUGCAUGGCUGUCUGCAGUUAAUGUCGUGAGAUUUGGAUAGCUCCUUGAAUUAACGGAAACCCUUACUUUAGUUGAAAAUAAUAAAGUAGUACAAAUAUCUAUUAUGGAAAAUUGUAUA